Molecule: ribosomal RNA, 330 nt
Filed under: uncultured eukaryote
Lineage: Eukaryota
Description: partial 18S ribosomal RNA
Rfam family: Eukaryotic small subunit ribosomal RNA
Source: RNAcentral
CCCUUAGAUGUUCGGGGCCGCACGUGCGCUACACUGAAGGAAUCAGCACGUCUUUCUCCUUGUCCGAAAGGACUGGGUAACCCGCUGAACCUCCUUCGUGCUAGGGAUUGGGGCUUGUAAUUCUUCCCCAUGAACGAGGAAUUCCCAGUAAGCGCGAGUCAUAAGCUCGCGUUGAUUACGUCCCUGCCCUUUGUACACACCGCCCGUCGCUACUACCGAUUGGAUGGUUUAGUGAGAUCCUCGGAUUGGUCCCGGAGCGGCCUCUGGUCGUGCCGGAGUGCCGAAAAGAAUGUCGAACUUGAUCAUCUAGAGGAAGUAAAAGUCGUAACA